Molecule: ribosomal RNA, 466 nt
Filed under: uncultured bacterium
Lineage: Bacteria
Description: bacterial SSU rRNA
Rfam family: Bacterial small subunit ribosomal RNA
Source: RNAcentral
AAUGAACGUUGGCGGCGUGGAUUAGGCAUGCAAGUCGAGCGCUCAUAGCAAUAUGGGAGCGGCGAACGGCGUAGUAAUACGUAGGAACGUACCCUCGGGUCGAGGAUAGCCACGGGAAACUGUGGGUAAUACCCGAUAAUCUCUGCGGAGCAAAGGUGUGAUUCCGCCGGAGGAGCGGCUGAUGUGAUAUUAGCUAGUUGGUGGGGUAAAGGCCUACCAAGGCGAUGAUGUCUAGGGGGUGUGAGAGCAUGGCCCCCACGACCGGAACUGAGAUACUGUCCGGACACCUACGGGUGGCUGCAGUCGAGAAUCUUCCGCAAUGGACGAAAGUCUGACGGAGCGACGCCGCGUGCGGGAUGAAGGCCCUUGGGUUGUAAACCGCUGUCAGAGGGAUGAAAUCGUCGGGGGUACUCCCCCGAUGUUGACAGAGCCUCAAAGGAAGCACGGGCUAAGUACGUGCCAGCAG